GUCGAACGCUGGCGGCGUGCUUAACACAUGCAAGUCGAACGGAAAGGCCCUGCUUUUGUGGGGUGCUCGCGUGGCAAACGGGUGUGUAACACGUGAGUAACCUUCCCUUUACUUUGGGAUAACUUCAGGAAACUGGUGCUAAUACCUGAUAGGAGCUCCUGCUGCAUGGUGGGGGUUGGAAAGUUUCGGCGGUUGGGGAUGGACUCGCGGGUUAUCAGCUUGUUGGUGGGGUAGUGGCUUACCAAGGCUUUGACGGGUAGCCGGCCUGAGAGGGUGACCGGCCACAUUGGGACUGAGAUACGGCCCAGACGCCUACGGGAGGCAGCAGUGGGGAAUAUUGCACAAUGGGCGGAAGCCUGAUGCAGAAACGCCGCGUGCGGGAUGACGGCCUUGGGGUUGUAAACCGCUUUAGCCUGUGACGAAGCGUGAGUGACGGUAAUGGGUAAAGAAGCACCGGCUAACUACGUG
RNAcentral lists this ribosomal RNA (468 nucleotides) under uncultured bacterium. RNAcentral's name for it is "partial 16S ribosomal RNA". It matches the Rfam family "Bacterial small subunit ribosomal RNA", at positions 28 to 507 of the family's 1533-position model. The record is from RNAcentral.